CCAUCGGCCCUUCUCAGGGCCACCAAAUCAAUCGGCCCUUAUCAG
Aedes albopictus (Asian tiger mosquito) is the source of this 45-nucleotide non-coding RNA. The record is from Rfam. Lineage: Eukaryota; Metazoa; Arthropoda; Insecta; Diptera; Culicidae.